RNAcentral lists this ribosomal RNA (433 nucleotides) under uncultured bacterium. Its description in RNAcentral is "partial 16S ribosomal RNA". It matches the Rfam family "Bacterial small subunit ribosomal RNA", at positions 29 to 507 of the family's 1533-position model. The record is from RNAcentral.
AACGAACGCUGGCGGCAUGCCUAACACAUGCAAGUCGAACGAGACCUUCGGGUCUAGUGGCGCACGGGUGCGUAACGCGUGGGAACCUGCCCUUAGGUUCGGAAUAACUCCCCGAAAGGGGUGCUAAUACCGGAUAAUGUCUUCGGACCAAAGAUUUAUCGCCUUUGGCUGGGCCCGCGUUGGAUUAGCUAGUUGGUAGGGUAAAAGCCUACCAAGGCGACGAUCCAUAGCUGGUCUGAGAGGAUGAUCAGCCACACUGGGACUGAGACACGGCCCAGACUCCUACGGGAGGCAGCAGUGGGGAAUAUUGGACAAUGGGCGAAAGCCUGAUCCAGCAAUGCCGCGUGAGUGAUGAAGGCCUUAGGGUUGUAAAGCUCUUUUACCCGGGAUGAUAAUGACAGUACCGGGAGAAUAAGCGCCGGCUAACUCCGUG